This 509-nucleotide ribosomal RNA is filed under the name uncultured bacterium. Its description in RNAcentral is "partial 16S ribosomal RNA". It matches the Rfam family "Bacterial small subunit ribosomal RNA", at positions 29 to 507 of the family's 1533-position model. The record is from RNAcentral.
ACGAACGCUGGCGGCGUGCUUAACACAUGCAAGUCGAACGAAGAGCGAUGGAAGCUUGCUUCUAUCAAUCUUAGUGGCGAACGGGUGAGUAACGCGUAAUCAACCUGCCCUUCAGAGGGGGACAACAGUUGGAAACGACUGCUAAUACCGCAUACGAUCUAAUCUCGGCAUCGAGGAUAGAUGAAAGGUAGCCUCUACAUGUAAGCUAUCACUGAAGGAGGGGAUUGCGUCUGAUUAGCUAGUUGGAGGGGUAACGGCCCACCAAGGCGAUGAUCAGUAGCCGGUCUGAGAGGAUGAACGGCCACAUUGGGACUGAGACACGGCCCAGACUCCUACGGGAGGCAGCAGUGGGGAAUCUUCCGCAAUGGACGAAAGUCUGACGGAGCAACGCCGCGUGAGCGAUGACGGCCUUCGGGUUGUAAAGCUCUGUUAAUCGGGACGAAAGGCCUUCUUGCGAAUAGGGAGAAGGAUUGACGGUACCGGAAUAGAAAGCCACGGCUAACUACGUG